This 629-nucleotide ribosomal RNA is filed under the name Escherichia coli. RNAcentral's name for it is "partial 23S ribosomal RNA". It matches the Rfam family "Bacterial large subunit ribosomal RNA", at positions 609 to 1239 of the family's 2925-position model. The record is from RNAcentral. Lineage: Bacteria; Pseudomonadati; Pseudomonadota; Gammaproteobacteria; Enterobacterales; Enterobacteriaceae.
UGUAUAAUGGGUCAGCGACUUAUAUUCUGUAGCAAGGUUAACCGAAUAGGGGAGCCGAAGGGAAACCGAGUCUUAACUGGGCGUUAAGUUGCAGGGUAUAGACCCGAAACCCGGUGAUCUAGCCAUGGGCAGGUUGAAGGUUGGGUAACACUAACUGGAGGACCGAACCGACUAAUGUUGAAAAAUUAGCGGAUGACUUGUGGCUGGGGGUGAAAGGCCAAUCAAACCGGGAGAUAGCUGGUUCUCCCCGAAAGCUAUUUAGGUAGCGCCUCGUGAAUUCAUCUCCGGGGGUAGAGCACUGUUUCGGCAAGGGGGUCAUCCCGACUUACCAACCCGAUGCAAACUGCGAAUACCGGAGAAUGUUAUCACGGGAGACACACGGCGGGUGCUAACGUCCGUCGUGAAGAGGGAAACAACCCAGACCGCCAGCUAAGGUCCCAAAGUCAUGGUUAAGUGGGAAACGAUGUGGGAAGGCCCAGACAGCCAGGAUGUUGGCUUAGAAGCAGCCAUCAUUUAAAGAAAGCGUAAUAGCUCACUGGUCGAGUCGGCCUGCGCGGAAGAUGUAACGGGGCUAAACCAUGCACCGAAGCUGCGGCAGCGACACUGUGUGUUGUUGGGUAGGGGAGCGU